Non-coding RNA from Myotis brandtii (Brandt's bat), 117 nucleotides. The record is from Rfam. Lineage: Eukaryota; Metazoa; Chordata; Mammalia; Chiroptera; Vespertilionidae.
AAAAUUCUAGAGUUAAAAUACAAGAACUAAAACAAAAAUUCAAGAAUAAACUUAUACCCCAUAUACACCUCAGCUCAGGCCCUUUGCCUGGUUUGUAUUGUGAGUGGGGGGACAUUA